RNAcentral lists this ribosomal RNA (253 nucleotides) under uncultured bacterium. RNAcentral describes it as "partial 16S ribosomal RNA". It matches the Rfam family "Bacterial small subunit ribosomal RNA", at positions 524 to 776 of the family's 1533-position model. The record is from RNAcentral.
UACGGAGGGUGCAAGCGUUAAUCGGAAUUACUGGGCGUAAAGCGUGCGUAGGCGGUUUGUUAAGUCAGAUGUGAAAGCCCUGGGCUCAACCUGGGAACUGCAUUUGAUACUGGCAGGCUAGAGUAUGGUAGAGGGAAGUGGAAUUCCGGGUGUAGCGGUGAAAUGCGUAGAUAUCCGGAGGAACACCAGUGGCGAAGGCGACUUCCUGGACCAAUACUGACGCUGAGGUACGAAAGCGUGGGUGGCAAACAGG